Molecule: ribosomal RNA, 253 nt
Filed under: uncultured bacterium
Lineage: Bacteria
Description: partial 16S ribosomal RNA
Rfam family: Bacterial small subunit ribosomal RNA
Source: RNAcentral
UACGUAGGGGGCAAGCGUUGUCCGGAUUUAUUGGGCGUAAAGAGCGUGUAGGCGGCCACACAGGUCUGCUGUGAAAACUCGAGGCUCAACCUCGAGCUGUCGGUGGAAACCGUGUGGCUAGAGUCCGGAAGAGGAGAGUGGAAUUCCCGGUGUAGCGGUGAAAUGCGUAGAUAUCAGGAGGAACACCGGUGGUGUAGACGGCUAUCUGGACCGUAACUGACGCUGAGGCACGAAAGCGUGGGUAGCAAACAGG